RNAcentral lists this long non-coding RNA (1193 nucleotides) under Homo sapiens (human). Lineage: Eukaryota; Metazoa; Chordata; Mammalia; Primates; Hominidae. The record is from RNAcentral.
GUUUAUUUUGCUGCACAGAUGGAAUUUAGGAUAAGCCCUCAGCUAUGUGAUCUCUGAGAAAGUGUCUAGUGUGUGUUGGUGUAAGACACCUGGUAUCUUUAGGCAGCAUGAGUCCUUUGUAAUUACUACAGGUUCUGCAAAGAACUAUUACUCUUGGCAAGGACUUUAUUGACAUUCCCUUUAGCAAACAGAGACUCGGUGAUGUUCACGGCCACCAGCUCUCAGGAAAGGCUGUUGUGGGCAGCAACACAGCUGGACAUUCCUUUGCUUACUGAUGGGAGAUUCAUAAGGAUACUUGCUCUUGGAGCCCACCUGCCCUGCUGGGAGGUGCUGGGAACACCUGGAGAGCCAUGUGCAGCUGUGUGGCCAGCAAUCCCAGCUUUGUUCCCAGCCAGCUGCCAGACCUGGGAGUGAGGAAGCCUUCCAGAAGACCCCAGCCUAGUCCCCAUCUGACAGCGACCUCAUGAGAUAUCCUGAGUGAGAUCUACCCAGCCGAGCCCAAUAAACCCAUGAAAACAUCAGAGAGAUGAGGUUUUGCCAUGUUGCCAAGGCUGGUCUCAAACUCCUGGGCUCAAGUGAUCUGCCUGCCUCUGCCUUCCAAAGUACUGAGAUUACAGGAGUGAGUCACCACAUCCAGUCCUCUUUUUCCUUUUUCUUUUAGAUUCCACAUCUUUUCUGGGGUUGUGCUGGUUAUACCAACCUUAUCUCAGCUACCUGAAGGAUUGUCGUGCUGGAGAAGACGUGUGGAGACCCACCUGACCAAAGCUCAACUUCAUGAACAUAAGAGCUGGAGGAACUGCCUCUCAGACUGUCCAGCUUGCUCAGAAAAGUGGCCUUCCUUUGGCUGGGAGAUGGAUGAAGAAAUUGAAGCCCAGAAAAAUUAAGUAACUUGUCCAAAUCCAAACAGAUGAGUUAAAAUCAUGAUGACUGUUUAGUGGCUUGAAGACAUUUUGUGUAACAUUUCAGCUUCAAUAAGAAGACGGGAGCUUGGUGCAAGGAUGUUUUACUGGGAGCCUACAGUGGAGCUCAGAAAGUCAUGUUCCGGCUGGACGCAGUGGCUUAUGCCUACAAUCCCAGCACUUUGGGAGGCCAAGGCAGGUGGAUUGCUUGAGCUCAGGAGUUCAAGACCAGCCUGGGCGACAUGGUGAAACUCCAUCUCUGCAAAAAGUACAAAAAAUUAGCCAGGUGUCAUG